UACGGAGGAUGCGAGCGUUAUCCGGAUUUAUUGGGUUUAAAGGGUGCGUAGGCGGGAUAAUAAGUCAGCGGUGAAAGUUUUCGGCUCAACCGGAAAAUUGCCGUUGAAACUGUUGUUCUUGAGUGCAGAAGAGGUAGGAGGAAUGUGCAGUGUAGCGGUGAAAUGCAUAGAUAUUGCACGGAACACCAAUUGCGAAGGCAGCUUACUGGGCCAUUACUGACGCUCAGGCACGAAAGCGUGGGGAUCAAACAGGAUUAGAUACCCU
This 265-nucleotide ribosomal RNA is filed under the name uncultured prokaryote. RNAcentral's name for it is "partial 16S ribosomal RNA". It matches the Rfam family "Bacterial small subunit ribosomal RNA", at positions 524 to 788 of the family's 1533-position model. The record is from RNAcentral.